This 65-nucleotide transfer RNA is filed under the name Paroedura lohatsara. RNAcentral's name for it is "tRNA-His". Lineage: Eukaryota; Metazoa; Chordata; Lepidosauria; Squamata; Gekkonidae. The record is from RNAcentral.
UGAACAUAGUUUAAUAAAAACCCUGGGCAGUGGCCCCAAAGACAAAGUAUCCACUUUUGUUCACC